RNAcentral lists this ribosomal RNA (433 nucleotides) under uncultured bacterium. Its description in RNAcentral is "partial 16S ribosomal RNA". It matches the Rfam family "Bacterial small subunit ribosomal RNA", at positions 29 to 507 of the family's 1533-position model. The record is from RNAcentral.
AACGAACGCUGGCGGCAUGCCUAACACAUGCAAGUCGAACGAUCCCUUCGGGGAUAGUGGCGCACGGGUGCGUAACGCGUGGGAACCUGCCCUUAGGUUCGGAAUAACUCAGAGAAAUUUGAGCUAAUACCGGAUAAUGUCUUCGGACCAAAGAUUUAUCGCCUUUGGAUGGGCCCGCGUUGGAUUAGCUAGUUGGUGGGGUAAAGGCCUACCAAGGCGACGAUCCAUAGCUGGUCUGAGAGGAUGAUCAGCCACACUGGGACUGAGACACGGCCCAGACUCCUACGGGAGGCAGCAGUGGGGAAUAUUGGACAAUGGGCGAAAGCCUGAUCCAGCAAUGCCGCGUGAGUGGUGAAGGCCUUAGGGUUGUAAAGCUCUUUUACCCGGGAUGAUAAUGACAGUACCGGGAGAAUAAGCCCCGGCUAACUCCGUG